AUGCACGCUGGCGGCGUGCUUAACCCCUGCCAGUCGAACGGAAAGGCCCAAGCUUGCUUGGGUACUCGAGUGGCGAACGGGUGAGUAACACGUGGGUGAUCUGCCCUGCACUUCGGGAUAAGCCUGGGAAACUGGGUCUAAUACCGGAUAGGACCACUUCUUGGAUGUUGUGGUGGAAAGUUUUUUCGGUGUGGGAUGAGCUCGCGGCCUAUCAGCUUGUUGGUGGGGUAAUGGCCUACCAAGGCGUCGACGGGUAGCCGGCCUGAGAGGGUGUACGGCCACAUUGGGACUGAGAGACAGGCCAGAGUCCUACGGGAGGCAGCAGUGGGGAAUAUUGGACAAUGGGCGCAAGCCUGAUGCAGCGACGCCUCGUGGGUGAUGACGGCCUUCGGGUUGUAAACACCUUUCGCUAGGGACGAAGCGUUUUUGUGACGGUACCUGGAGAAGAAGCACCGGCUAACUACGUG
RNAcentral lists this ribosomal RNA (467 nucleotides) under uncultured bacterium. RNAcentral's name for it is "partial 16S ribosomal RNA". It matches the Rfam family "Bacterial small subunit ribosomal RNA", at positions 29 to 507 of the family's 1533-position model. The record is from RNAcentral.